UAUAUUUUGGUGUAAUAGCAUUAGAUAUUUUGAUUAUCUAGGAUUUAUUUAGUUAUAAUAAAUAUUAUAG
Molecule: transfer RNA, 70 nt
Filed under: Pauropus longiramus
Lineage: Eukaryota; Metazoa; Arthropoda; Pauropoda; Tetramerocerata; Pauropodidae
Description: tRNA-Gln
Source: RNAcentral